AACGCAUAUUGCACUCUCUGGCUCUCCAGAGAGUAUGCCUGUUUGAGUAUCAGUUUAAAUCUCUCACCCCCAACUGGGGAUGAGGAAUUGAGCAAUCCGCUGGCGCUGAAUUGUUUACGCGGUUUAGUGAUUGAUGCGGUUGCUUGAAAUGCAUAGCUAAGCGAUAUUGACCACUGCUUAAGAUGACUAAGGCGUAUUAGUUUCCCAUUUGGGAAUCCACUCGUGCGCCGGUGUAUUGGUCUCUCUAGCCUUUGUGUUGGUUGAUCGCUAUGCUUUUCUAAAUGUUCUUCUGAGCAUUUACUUAGUUUGGCAUGCGGUUUGCAUAUCGAACUUGAUCUUGAUCUCAAAUCAGGCAAGACUACCCGCUGAAUUUAA
Molecule: ribosomal RNA, 375 nt
Filed under: uncultured fungus
Lineage: Eukaryota; Fungi
Description: eukaryotic LSU rRNA
Source: RNAcentral